UUCUCAAAGUCUUCUUAUCUUUCAAAGACGCCCCUUGCAGGUAAAUCUGACUUUGGAGGAAACACUUAAUAUCAAAAUACUACGGCUUCUCAUCUUUGACCUAUUCAACAGCGAACACAUGAGCUGGCCUAUCAAGACGCAUCAUAGUCAAAUUGGGAACUUCGUUCCAAUAGUUUACUAUAAUCAUUGAUGCCAAUGUUGCAAGA
RNAcentral lists this long non-coding RNA (206 nucleotides) under Lathyrus oleraceus (garden pea). RNAcentral describes it as "Pisum sativum (pea) long non-coding RNA (PSAT_LNC041901)". Lineage: Eukaryota; Viridiplantae; Streptophyta; Magnoliopsida; Fabales; Fabaceae. The record is from RNAcentral.